AUCUUGCUGCAGGUAUCACAGACGUGCGCGGCGGUAAAACUAAAAAUCAGCUGCUCGACACACCGCAUAAACGACUAAGGACGACUUGUGUCGUUGCAAGAAUAAGUCAAAACCACGUAAGGCGCCUCUCUCGCGCCCUGUCACCGCGAAGCGAAUGAACACGCGCGACACUGCUCUGAGCUUUUUAUAUAAACCGAUCUUUAGGCGGACCGAGUGGGCGGCCGUGCGAGAUGACUGAGCGCGUAUGGUGGUUGCGACUUGGCAGUAGUGGCCAACGACUCCUGUAGCAGACGACAAUGAGAAUCGCGCAUUUACGGUGGCAGCACGCGCAAGGGAAAGUAAAGCUUAGCCUUUUCGCCAUUCAGCCACGAACAAUCAUGGAAGUCUCAUUUGUUAGACAAUCGUCUGGCAGACAAGAACAUAGGAAUACGUAUGCUGAUUGAUUCUCUGAAGAAUAGAUUGCCGUAAUUUCCUUAUCGCUGGAGUGCCUGUAAAGAUCUACGUGAAUCCUAUCGAGAUCGGCAGUAUCAUCAUAGAAGAUAAGGCAUUUGAGAUUCAGCGAUUAUUCUUAAUUAAAACGAUGCCCAACUUUCACACAAGCGCUCAAUGACGAUCCCCACGCUUGUGAACCAAUGCAGGUCCUAUGAGGGCGCCAGCGUCGAUACUCUAGACGCAAGAAGAGAGAGAGAGAAAGGGGAAAAACGAUUGUUGCAAGAGAUGGACGAGAUCAUAAGGCGUGAGAUGUCCAGUACAGUAAGCGUGUUUACCCGCAAGUAUAACCGUAUACUCACGGCAAUUCCUCUUGGGGCAGAGUACGCUGGAACGUGGAGUAGUUUCUAUUCGCCAUCCUGAUGCUCUUCCAUGCUACGGAUAACUGGCGAUGCACCCUUGCACACAUUUUGCACUUUACAAUACAUACAAUACAAUAGAUACAAGGAAACAUCUGUGAGGGAGAACGAUUGGCACUGGGUCCUGGUGAAUUUUCAUACGGGUGUAUCUGUUAAUGAAAUUCGGUUCAUCGUUCAUCUCGUGGAUUAGAAACAGAAUGCAAAUUUAUUACCACAGGAAGAAACGUAGGAGCAUGAGAACGGAUCGAAGAACACUGGUUGAAGGAUGCUGGUUAAAAACUAGUAAUUAGAAGUCUUAGUAGGACUUAUCCAGCAAGUAAUUAUUAAUGGAUCUCUUUCGCAACAAUGUCCAUCACCCACGACGUACGCGCAUGUCGUCAGGUCCUAAAAUACAAAUCGGAUAAGGAUUGUACAGGAGGAAAAA
Long non-coding RNA from Cephus cinctus (wheat stem sawfly), 1272 nucleotides. RefSeq lists it as uncharacterized. Lineage: Eukaryota; Metazoa; Arthropoda; Insecta; Hymenoptera; Cephidae. The record is from RefSeq and is a predicted model, not a curated record. The transcript has 6 exons.